GCAUUAGUGGUUCAGUGGUAGAAUUCUUGCCUCCCAUGCAGGAGACCCAGGUUCGAUUCCCAGUCAAUGCA
Transfer RNA from Ovis aries (sheep), 71 nucleotides. It matches the Rfam family "tRNA". From Rfam's summary of the family: Transfer RNA (tRNA) molecules are approximately 80 nucleotides in length. Their secondary structure includes four short double-helical elements and three loops (D, anti-codon, and T loops). Further hydrogen bonds mediate the characteristic L-shaped molecular structure. tRNAs have two regions of fundamental functional importance: the anti-codon, which is responsible for specific mRNA codon recognition, and the 3' end, to which the tRNAs corresponding amino acid is attached (by aminoacyl-tRNA synthetases). tRNAs cope with the degeneracy of the genetic code in two manners: having more than one tRNA (with a specific anti-codon) for a particular amino acid; and 'wobble' base-pairing, i.e. permitting non-standard base-pairing at the 3rd anti-codon position. The record is from Rfam. Lineage: Eukaryota; Metazoa; Chordata; Mammalia; Artiodactyla; Bovidae.